AAAAUUGACAAAGCUACAAAUUGUAUUGAUCAAUUGGGCGUUAGGGUGGGGAGGAUUAAGUUAUGAGGAGGUAUCACAAUGCGCGCAUCGAUCAGUGUGCGCCGAGUCGUCCUCGCGGCAAGGUGGGUUGAAUGUGUGUCUAUGAGAAUCUUCUGUGUGUGUGAAAACAAGCAAAAGAGAGAGGGUCAGAACAAAGAAAGAGAGUUGCUUUCGUCCGGUACUGUGUUGUGCAGUGAACACGUGUGCGUGUGCGUCUUGUCUCUGGUGAUCUAGAAAACGUGCCGAACGUCCGGGUGAAUCUUGCAAUGUCACGAAAUUAAUCGUACAGGAAGAAAACGAAGUUUCUUUCUAAUUUCUCUUUCGAGUAUAACUUUCAAAAUAUCAACUUAACCUCUGAACUUGCAACUUAGAACAUAUCUUUAUGCACCACGUGCUGUUUUCUGGAUCUAAAUAUUCUUGACAAUACCAAAGAGUCUAAAAUAGCAUGCCAAAUCAAACAUGGAUCCUAAAGAACAUCCUCAUUUGCCUUCUUCUUAUUGGGACGUUGAAGUCCUCCAUCGGAAAGCCCAUCACAAGUCGGUCAAGAAGAGAAGCAGAAAUAAUGGCGACCAACUGGACGCAGCUUGCAGACGAAUGGUUCGCUGCCAGAGCAAGCGCCGCAGAAAGAUUUGAUGUUACCGUUUUACCUUUGACUGACAGAUUCAGAGACUUGCCUCCAACUGCAGACACUUUCGUUAUUAACGGCACCAGUUCUGACCAACUUUCACGGUACAAUUAUUCAAGAAUGCUAUGGGAAAUGGAAUCCGUCCAAUCAAGUGGACACCUCUCAACAUUCGUAGACAAAGCUUUAAAACUCUUAGACCUAAGACAAGUAAUGAUGGAAGUCGAAACGUCAGUAAUGUCAAAAGUGUCCUGCACAGCGUGCAAAGUUGGCGCUGGACUUCUUCUGCACUAUAUCAAGGUCGGCAAGAGUGAUGAAGAAAUUAUGACCAGUAUUUACCAGUUUUGCGUAUCUCUUAAUAUUCAGAGUCCCCGAGUUUGCCAGGGUGUUACUUUACUCUUUGGGGGGGAAGUAAUCUACGUUUUGAAGCAAGUAAACAUGGGACCAAAUCAGAUUUGUAGCUUCGUGAUAGGCGACGCAUGUGACAACACAUACAAUCCUCUGCACGAGUGGGAAGUGGUGUUUCCACCGGUGAACAAACCACCCGUAAAACCUCCUAUACCACCUCAAGAAGGUGCGCCGACCUUCAAAGUCCUUCAUAUCUCUGAUACCCACUACGACCCUUAUUAUCAAGAGGGUGCCAAUGCAGAAUGUAACGAACCAUUAUGCUGCAGAUUGACCAACGGAGCACCCCUGACUCCAGCCGCAGCUGCUGGCCGAUGGGGUGAUUAUAGAAAAUGUGACACGCCAAAAAGAACCGUUGAGCAUAUGCUCAAACACAUUGCUGACACACAUUCAGAUAUAGAUUAUAUACUGUGGACCGGUGAUUUACCACCUCAUGAUGUAUGGAAUCAGACGCGGGAAGAAAAUCUGAAAGUGUUGCACGAGACGGUUACACAGCUCAUUGAAAUGUUUCCUGGAAUACCGAUCUUUCCGGCUCUGGGAAACCAUGAAAGUGCUCCAGUUAACAGCUUCCCACCACCAUUCGUGCCAAAAGACAAUGAUAUAUCCUGGCUGUACGAUGCACUCGAUAAACAUUGGAGACGUUGGCUACCAGCAGGUGUUUCGCACACUGUCCGACGUGGUGCAUUCUAUUCGGUCUUAGUCCGUCCAGGCUUCAGGAUUCUGUCUGUAAACAUGAAUUAUUGUAACAAUAAAAACUGGUGGUUGCUAUUAAAUAGCACGGAUCCGGUCAGCGAAUUGCAGUGGCUUGUUUAUGAAUUGCAAGGCGCAGAGAUGAAUGGAGAAAAAGUUCAUAUUAUUGGUCAUAUACCACCUGGACAUUCGGAUUGUUUGAAGGUGUGGUCUAGAAACUAUUAUCAGAUCAUAAACCGGUACGAAUCGACAAUCGCAGCACAAUUCUUUGGACAUACUCAUUACGAUGAGUUUCAGCUGUUUUAUGAUAGUAGUGACCUAGGAAGAGCUGUUAGUAUAGCAUAUGUAGGACCGUCGGUUACCCCCUAUUCUGAUCUCAAUCCAGGAUACAGAAUAUACUACGUUGAUGGUGAUCAUCCGAAGACCACCAGAAUGGUUGUGGACCACGAAAGUUGGGUUAUGAAUCUGAAGGAAGCAAAUCUGUACGAUUAUCCUAUUUGGCACAAGAUGUACAGUGCACGACAGGCAUAUCAAAUGUCCUCGUUAUUACCUAAAGAUUGGGACUCGUUAAUAGAUAAGAUGAGCAAUGAACCGUCACUUUUUGAUCUUUAUUAUAAAAAUUAUUACAAAAAUUCUCCCGUACGACCGCCAUGUAACGACGAAUGUCGAAAGAGGUUACUCUGUGAUUUACGAAGUGGAAGAAGCCAUGAUCGCAAAGCACUGUGCCAGAGUCUCGAGUCAAGGAUAGAUGGUGAAACAAGAACGGGUUGGAGGGCUUGGAUUUACAAUGGACUUGCUUUAUCUUCAAGAGAUAAUUGCGAGAACAGAUUAAAAUUUGACAACCUGUAUAUAUUCACACUAGCAGAUACCUUAAGAUUUAGUGAUGGAUAACUUGUGGUGGUGGAACCUGUAACAUGGUGGUUAUCUACACUCUGAUAUACACCGCUUUUUAAUAGAGUAUCUGUUUUUAUGGCAAUUCCUCGAUUUGCGUACAAUUUACCCAAGUACGUUUUAGGCCUAGGAUAAAUGAAGACAUCACUGGAAGGG
RNAcentral lists this unclassified non-coding RNA (2803 nucleotides) under Megachile rotundata (alfalfa leafcutting bee). Its description in RNAcentral is "sphingomyelin phosphodiesterase, transcript variant X1". The record is from RNAcentral. Lineage: Eukaryota; Metazoa; Arthropoda; Insecta; Hymenoptera; Megachilidae.